RNAcentral lists this ribosomal RNA (402 nucleotides) under Fusobacteriota bacterium. RNAcentral describes it as "Fusobacteria bacterium partial 16S ribosomal RNA". It matches the Rfam family "Bacterial small subunit ribosomal RNA", at positions 355 to 776 of the family's 1533-position model. Lineage: Bacteria; Fusobacteriati; Fusobacteriota. The record is from RNAcentral.
UGGGGAAUCUUGCACAAUGGGGGAAACCCUGAUGCAGCGACGCCGCGUGAGCGAUGAAGGUCUUCGAAUCGUAAAGCUCUGUCCUAUGGGAAGAUAAUGACGGUACCAUGGGAGGAAGCCCCGGCUAACUACGCGCCAGCAGCCGCGGUAAUACGUAGGGGCGAGCGUUGUCCGGAAUUACUGGGCGUAAAGGGUUCGCAGGCGGCAUGGCAAGUCCGAUGUAAAAGGGGAAGGCUCAACCUUCGUAAGCAUCGGAAACUGUCAAGCUUGAGUGAAGGAGAGGCAAGUGGAAUUCCUAGUGUAGCGGUGGAAUGCGUAGAUAUUAGGAGGAAUACCGGUGGCGUAGGCGACUUGCUGGACUUCAACUGACGCUGAGGAACGAAAGCGUGGGUAGCAAACAGG